GACGAACGCUGGCGGCGUGCUUAACACAUGCAAGUCGAACGAUGAAGUCGGAGCUUGCUCUGGUGAAUUAGUGGCGAACGGGUGAGUAACACGUGAGUAACCUGCCCUUGACUCUGGGAUAACUGCUAGAAAUGGUAGCUAAUGCCGGAUACGACCCUCGGAGGCAUCUCCAGGGGGUGGAAAGAAUUUCGGUCAAGGAUGGACUCGCGGCCUAUCAGCUAGUUGGUGAGGUAAUGGCUCACCAAGGCGACGACGGGUAGCCGGCCUGAGAGGGUGACCGGCCACACUGGGACUGAGACACGGCCCAGACUCCUACGGGAGGCAGCAGUGGGGAAUAUUGCACAAUGGGCACAAGCCUGAUGCAGCAACGCCGCGUGAGGGAUGACGGCCUUCGGGUUGUAAACCUCUUUUAGUAGGGAAGAAGCGAAAGUGACGGUACCUGCAGAAAAAGCACCGGCUAACUACGUGCCAGCCGCCGCAGUAA
Molecule: ribosomal RNA, 484 nt
Filed under: uncultured bacterium
Lineage: Bacteria
Description: partial 16S ribosomal RNA
Rfam family: Bacterial small subunit ribosomal RNA
Source: RNAcentral